AAUCGGUAUGAACUCUUUUAGAAUUUGUCAAUGUGUACUUCCAAUAGAAAUGGAAGCACCAA
Molecule: unclassified non-coding RNA, 62 nt
Filed under: Flagellimonas taeanensis
Lineage: Bacteria; Pseudomonadati; Bacteroidota; Flavobacteriia; Flavobacteriales; Flavobacteriaceae
Description: Allomuricauda taeanensis U7 small nuclear RNA
Source: RNAcentral